Molecule: ribosomal RNA, 535 nt
Filed under: uncultured bacterium
Lineage: Bacteria
Description: bacterial SSU rRNA
Rfam family: Bacterial small subunit ribosomal RNA
Source: RNAcentral
CCAGGUCUUGACAUCCCUUGACAACUCCAGAGAUGGAGCGUUCCCUUCGGGGACAAGGUGACAGGUGGUGCAUGGUUGUCGUCAGCUCGUGUCGUGAGAUGUUGGGUUAAGUCCCGNAACGAGCGCAACCCUUAUUACUAGUUGCCAGCAUUCAGUUGGGCACUCUAGUGAGACUGCCGGUGACAAACCGGAGGAAGGUGGGGAUGACGUCAAAUCAUCAUGCCCCUUAUGACCUGGGCUACACACGUGCUACAAUGGCGUAUACAACGAGUUGCCAACCCGCGAGGGUGAGCUAAUCUCUUAAAGUACGUCUCAGUUCGGAUUGUAGGCUGCAACUCGCCUACAUGAAGUCGGAAUCGCUAGUAAUCGCGGAUCAGCACGCCGCGGUGAAUACGUUCCCGGGUCUUGUACACACCGCCCGUCACACCAUGAGAGUUUGUAACACCCAAAGCCGGUGGGGUAACCUUUUAGGAGCCAGCCGUCUAAGGUGGGACAGAUGAUUAGGGUGAAGUCGUAACAAGGUAGGCGUACGUGU